AUGGAGGGGAACUCGCCUAUGGAGAAGAGAAGAGCCGUAAAGGGCACGAAGCAGCACGGCAGGAACGCCAGUAGGAGCAACCUCCCUGCUGAGAGCGCCGAGCCCAGCACCGACCAGCCUGUCCGAGCGGCCUUGGAGCCAGCGCGGCUGCAAGGGGAACCGGGCAGGGCCGCUCACUCUAUUCUGGAGGGCAAGGUGAAGGCUCUGAAGGAGAAGAGGUCAACCAUUAAGCAGGGAGGAGUGGUGUCCCAGGAACGGGCAUCUCUGAAGAAGCCCAAAGUCAGGAAAGGGAAGCUCGCACCAGGUCGGGCGGUGGUGGAGGGGGUCCCCCAGGAUGCGGUGGUGGAGCCACGGGCUCAGAUCCGCACCUACUUGACGGACGUGCUGCUAGACAGCCGUGAUGAUGUGGACUUUGGGCAGGGGGCCAGGGGGCCUGUGGCUGCAGACCUUUAUGCCAACAACGUAGAAGCUCUGAAGGCGCAUAGGACAGUGGGAGGAGGCAGUGCCUUGGGCUGCGGUUCAGCUGAGGAACUCUGGAGGCUUCCAAGCCCAGGAAGGAGCAUACAGGAGAAUGCUGACUACUGUUCAGAAAACAGGGCCCAAAGGGGUUCCCCAAAUGGGCUUUGGGGCACCAGCUCCACUAGGAAUCCUCCCUCAAGCAGCCAGAAAUCUUCCCUUGAAGACCAUGGCAAACCAGCCCCCUUUGGAGAAGAGCUGGCUCAGGCUAGGGACUCGGAGAGCCUCCCCCUGGCUCAAAAGGACGAUCUGUGCGGGGGGUUAGCCCCAUCGGGGCGGCUGUGGAGGGCGGACAGCUGGGACAGCCUGGGCAGUGCUGCGAGUGCCGCCAGCAGCCUGUCUCUGGCUGAGCGGGUGGAGAGGAACCGGGCCGUGCUGCAGGAGAUGCUGAGCCUGUCGAGGCAGAACCACUCUCCUCUGGAGCCUCAUCGCUACGCGAAGGAAACACUCAUGCUAGCGAAGGAUGGAGCCGCUCAAGGUGGGAAUUUGAUGUGGGAGCAUCUCAAGCGUGUGUGA
Molecule: long non-coding RNA, 1032 nt
Filed under: Chrysemys picta bellii (western painted turtle)
Lineage: Eukaryota; Metazoa; Chordata; Testudines; Emydidae
Description: lncRNA (ENSCPBG00000025766.1)
Source: RNAcentral